UAGCUGUUUGUCAUGUUCCUCGUU
This 24-nucleotide non-coding RNA is filed under the name Arabidopsis thaliana (thale cress). Lineage: Eukaryota; Viridiplantae; Streptophyta; Magnoliopsida; Brassicales; Brassicaceae. The record is from RNAcentral.